GGGGCCGUAGUCUAGCUUGGUAGGAUGCCGGCCUGGGGCGCCGGUGAGCCCGGGUUCAAAUCCCGGCGGCCCCACCA
Molecule: transfer RNA, 77 nt
Filed under: Thermoproteus uzoniensis 768-20
Lineage: Archaea; Thermoproteati; Thermoproteota; Thermoprotei; Thermoproteales; Thermoproteaceae
Also listed under: 1 other name
Description: tRNA-Pro (GGG) (tRNA-Pro-GGG-1-1)
Rfam family: tRNA
About the family: Transfer RNA (tRNA) molecules are approximately 80 nucleotides in length. Their secondary structure includes four short double-helical elements and three loops (D, anti-codon, and T loops).
Source: RNAcentral